UUGGAGACCUCAAAUCAGGUAGGACUACCCGCUGAACUUAAGCAUAUCAAUAAGCGGAGGAAAAGAAACUAACAAGGAUUCCCCUAGUAACUGCGAGUGAAGCGGGAAAAGCUCAAAUUUGAAAUCUGGCGGUUCUUGACCGUCCGAGUUGUAGUCUAGAGAAGUGUUACCUGUGCUGGACCGUGUAAAAGUCUUCUGGAAUGGAGCAUCAUAGAGGGUGAGAAUCCCGUCUUUGACACGGACUACCUGUACAUUAUGGUGYGCUCUCAAAGAGUCGAGUUGUUUGGGAAUGCAGCUCAAAAUGGGUGGUAAAUGCCAUCUAAAGCUAAAUAUUGGCGAGAGACCGAUAGCGAACAAGUACCGUGAGGGAAAGAUGAAAAGAACUUUGGAAAGAGAGUUAAACAGUACGUGAAAUUGCUGAAAGGGAAACGCUUGAAGUCAGUCGCGUUGGCUGGAAAUCAACCUUGCUCUUGCUUGGUGUACUUUCUGGUUGACGGGUCAGCAUCAAUUUUGACCGCUGGAUAAAGUCUUUGGGAAUGUGGCAUCUUAGGAUGUGUUAUAGCCCAUUGUCGCAUACAGUGGUUGGGAUUGAGGAACUCAGCACGCCGCAAGGCCGGGUUUCGACCACGUUCGUGCUUAGGAUGCUGGCAUAAUGGCUUUAAUCGACCCGUC
This 672-nucleotide ribosomal RNA is filed under the name Inocybe chondroderma. RNAcentral's name for it is "eukaryotic LSU rRNA". It matches the Rfam family "Eukaryotic large subunit ribosomal RNA", at positions 1 to 653 of the family's 3401-position model. Lineage: Eukaryota; Fungi; Basidiomycota; Agaricomycetes; Agaricales; Inocybaceae. The record is from RNAcentral.